GAUGAACGCUAGCUACAGGCUUAACACAUGCAAGUCGAGGGGCAUCGGGAAGAAAGCUUGCUUUCUUUGCCGGCGACCGGCGCACGGGUGAGUAACACGUAUCCAACCUGCCGUCUACUCUUGGACAGCCUUCUGAAAGGAAGAUUAAUACAAGAUGGCAUCAUGAGUCCGCAUGUUCACAUGAUUAAAGGUAUUCCGGUAGACGAUGGGGAUGCGUUCCAUUAGAUAGUAGGCGGGGUAACGGCCCACCUAGUCUUCGAUGGAUAGGGGUUCUGAGAGGAAGGUCCCCCACAUUGGAACUGAGACACGGUCCAAACUCCUACGGGAGGCAGCAGUGAGGAAUAUUGGUCAAUGGGCGAGAGCCUGAACCAGCCAAGUAGCGUGAAGGAUGACUGCCCUAUGGGUUGUAAACUUCUUUUAUAAAGGAAUAAAGUCGGGUAU
This 441-nucleotide ribosomal RNA is filed under the name uncultured bacterium. RNAcentral describes it as "bacterial SSU rRNA". It matches the Rfam family "Bacterial small subunit ribosomal RNA", at positions 28 to 459 of the family's 1533-position model. The record is from RNAcentral.